GACGGAGGAUGCAAGCGUUAUCCGGAAUGAUUGGGCGUAAAGCGUCCGCAGGUGGCAGUUCAAGUCUGCUGUCAAAGACCGGGGCUUAACUUCGGAAAGGCAGUGGAAACUGAACAGCUAGAGUAUGGUAGGGGCAGAGGGAAUUCCUGGUGUAGCGGUGAAAUGCGUAGAGAUCAGGAAGAACAUCGGUGGCGAAGGCGGUCUCCUGGGCCGAGGGCCGACGCUGAGGCGCGAGAGCGUGGGGAGCGAACCGG
RNAcentral lists this ribosomal RNA (254 nucleotides) under uncultured bacterium. RNAcentral describes it as "partial 16S ribosomal RNA". It matches the Rfam family "Bacterial small subunit ribosomal RNA", at positions 524 to 776 of the family's 1533-position model. The record is from RNAcentral.